UCAAAAUAAAUUGAAUAGUAUUUAUUUAAUAAUUUUUAUUUUUUUUUAUUAUUAUUAUAUUAAAAAUAUUUAUAUGAUUUUUUGUUUAGUAUAUUUAUAGAAUAAAUAAUUUUAUUUGUAGUUUAUUAGUAAUGUGAGUGAACAUUGAAAUAUUUUGAAAAAUUAUUAUAAUUUAAGAAAAUUUUAUUUAUUGUACCUUGUGUAUCAGGGUUAAUUAAAUAUGAUUUAUUUAAUUUAAAUUUCCCGAUUUUAAAAGAGUUAAUAAGAUAUUUAAGUUAAUGUUAUAUAAUUAUUUAUAAUAUUUUAUUAGAGAUGAUAAGUUAUUCGUUUUUAAAGGUAUCUGGUUUUUUCAGAAAUAAAUUCAAUUUAGAAUUUUAAUAUUUAUUAAUUUUAUUAUAUUAAUAUAAUUAAUUUUAAAAUUUAGUUUUCUAUGGGAUAAGCUACAGAAUAAAUUUUUAUAAGUUUAAAUAAUAGAAUAAAAAGUAUAAUUAAUAAUAUUAAUCUUUAAUAAGUUUGUUAUAAUUUAUUGUUCAUUAGAAUUAUUUAUUUAAUUUUAAGUUUUUAUGAAGAUGUUUUUGUUAAUAUUUUAUAGGGAGUAAUAAUGAUUAAAUUAGUAUAUUUGUUUGUUUUGAAAAUAUAAUUGUUAGGUUAAUAUAAAGAAUUCGGCAAAUUUAAUGUUCGCCUGUUUAACAAAAACAUGUCUUUUUGAUUUAUGAAAAGUCUGACCUGCCCAUUGAUAAUUUAAAAGGCCGCAGUAUAUUAACUGUGCAAAGGUAGCAUAAUCAUUAGUCUUUUAAUUGAAGGCUUGUAUGAAUGGUUGGACGAAAUAUUAACUGUUUUAUAUUAAUUUAUAUAGAAUUUUAUUUUUUAGUAAAAAAGCUAAAAUAAUUUUGAGGGACGAGAAGACCCUAUAAAUCUUUAUAUUUAAGUUAUUUUAAUUAUAUAGAUUGUUUUAUUUAUUAUAAUGAUAAUAUUUUAUUGGGGUGAUAUUUAAAUUUAAUAAACUUUAAAUUGUUAAAACAUUGAUUUAUGAAUGAUUGAUCCAUUAUUAGUGAUUAGAAAUAUAAGUUACUUUAGGGAUAACAGCGUAAUUUUUUUAGAGAGUUCUUAUCGAUAAAAAAGAUUGCGACCUCGAUGUUGGAUUAAGAGAUAAGGUUGGGUGUAGAAGUUCAAUUGUUAAGUCUGUUCGACUUU
RNAcentral lists this ribosomal RNA (1194 nucleotides) under Conops santaroi. RNAcentral's name for it is "partial 16S ribosomal RNA". Lineage: Eukaryota; Metazoa; Arthropoda; Insecta; Diptera; Conopidae. The record is from RNAcentral.